AUGGGCGACGCUGGCGAGAAUUUCGUCGUGCUGCUGCUGCCUGGACCUCGGUACCGUGCCUGCCGGAGCAGAGCAGCCGUCGCAAGGAGCAGCAACAAGCAACAAUGGCAAAGAGCAGCAGCCCUAGCAAGGAGCAGCAGCGGCAACCAGCGGGAAGGAGCAGCAGUGGCAAGCAGUAGCGGGAAGGAGCUGGAUGGGCAUGGUGUCGCCCGCCGUGGUUGCGGCAACCCUCCAGCCCUGCCGCGUCGCGUGCAUCACCUCCAGAACGGGGCUAUGCGACACUUGGGCCGCUCUGUACGCAGGAGCUGGCACGCCCUCGAGCUCGCCAGACCAAUGCCAGCCGGCUCCGGCGACGAGCUCGUCGGCAGGGACCCGAUUGCUUUUUCUAAAAAACUGAAAAGGACCUGA
RNAcentral lists this ribosomal RNA (408 nucleotides) under Triticum aestivum (bread wheat). Its description in RNAcentral is "partial small subunit ribosomal RNA". The record is from RNAcentral. Lineage: Eukaryota; Viridiplantae; Streptophyta; Magnoliopsida; Poales; Poaceae.